UACGAAGGGUGCAAGCGUUACUCGGAAUUACUGGGCGUAAAGCGUGCGUAGGUGGUUUGUUAAGUCUGAUGUGAAAGCCCUGGGCUCAACCUGGGAAUUGCAUUUGUGACUGUAUAGCUGGAGUGCGGCAGAGGGGGAUGGAAUUCCGCGUGUAGCAGUGAAAUGCGUAGACAUGCGGAGGAACACCAAUGGCGAAGGCAAUCCCCUGGGCCUGCACUGACGCUCAUGCACGAAAGCGUGGGGAGCAAACAGG
RNAcentral lists this ribosomal RNA (253 nucleotides) under uncultured bacterium. RNAcentral describes it as "partial 16S ribosomal RNA". It matches the Rfam family "Bacterial small subunit ribosomal RNA", at positions 524 to 776 of the family's 1533-position model. The record is from RNAcentral.